CUACGGGAGGCAGCAGUGGGGAAUAUUGCACAAUGGGCGAAAGCCUGAUGCAGCGACGCCGCGUGCGGGAAAAAGGCCUUCGGGUUGUAAACCGCUUUCAAUUGGGAAGAAGAGAUGAGCGCUAAUAUCGCUCUGAUUUGACGGUACCUUUAGAAGAAGCACCGGCUAAUUUCGUGCCAGCAGCCGCGGUAAUACGAAAGGUGCAAGCGUUGUUCGGAUUUACUGGGCGUAAAGAGAUCGUAGGUGGUUUGUUAAGUCGGAUGUGAAAUCCCAAGGCUCAACCUUGGAACUGCAUUCGAUACUGGCAGGCUAGAGUUUGGGAGGGGUAAGCGGAAUUCCGUGUGUAGCAGUGAAAUGCGUAGAUAUACGGAGGAACACCUGAGGCGAAGGCGGCUUACUGGACCAAUACUGACACUGAGGAUCGAAAGCGUGGGUAGCAAACAGGAUUAGAUACCCUGGUAGUCCACGCCCUAAACGAUGUCAACUAGCCGUAGCGGGUAUCGACCCCUGCUGUGGCGAAGCUAACGCGAUAAGUUGACCGCCUGGGGAGUACGGUCGCAAGAUUAAAACUCAAAGGAAUUGACGG
Molecule: ribosomal RNA, 586 nt
Filed under: Zetaproteobacteria bacterium S1
Lineage: Bacteria; Pseudomonadati; Pseudomonadota; Candidatius Mariprofundia
Description: bacterial SSU rRNA
Rfam family: Bacterial small subunit ribosomal RNA
Source: RNAcentral